Molecule: long non-coding RNA, 4023 nt
Filed under: Carica papaya (papaya)
Lineage: Eukaryota; Viridiplantae; Streptophyta; Magnoliopsida; Brassicales; Caricaceae
Description: long non-coding RNA (CPAP_LNC007852)
Source: RNAcentral
UCUUAGAUAUCUUGAGUGGAUACAAAUAAGUGAACAAGGGUAAAAUAGGGGAGACCACCCAGGAAAUUAAAGAUUUAGUAUUUGUGCCCUCUAAGAGUGAUCAUUUGAAAUCUUUAAGAGUGUAUAAUACUUAACUUUAGAGAGAUGGAAUCAAUUAUUGAGUGUAAUUGAUUUUAACGAGACCUUUGGUGGACCCCACUGCCGAAGGAUCCUAAUAUGACCCGAUAAUAAGGAGUUCAAGACUUAAAGACCUUAGAAGAACCUGAUCAAUUAUUGAGAUUUUUAGAGUCAUCCUACUCGAUAAACUUGAGGAUAAUAGUAUACUGUGAUACUAUGUGUAGACAAAUUCCUUUAUAUUUUUGGAAGUUAGAAAAGGGAUGUCUCGUUUUGGAAAUAUGUGAGAGCCUUGGAAAACUAUAAGCCUGAGAAUGAGAUUCCAGAAGAAAUCAAAGAGUUAUGAUCAAAUCCUAAUAGACUUGGAUGGAGAGAAUAAGCCUUAAUAAAUUGAGGAUCCAUACAACUUAACCGGAAAGAGUACGUGGCUUGGAUAUCAAAUCAUUGAAGAAUGAGAAAAGAUCUUGAUUUAGGAAAGUACUAAACCAUUUUCCAUAAGAUUAAUUUCUAGAGUUAGAAAAUGUAUAGACUUGAUUGUGGGAGCUUAAUAUCUUAGGAAAUAUAAACAUAGAAAUUAUUUUGUGGUCAUGUAGAAGUAGUUAAGAGCCAUAUACAUUGUGGCAAUUCCAUACUUGAUUAUUUAAAGGUUAAAGACCCUAUGAGCAUUUGAUCAAUUAUCGAGGUAUUUUUACACACCACCCAGACCUCGUUAAAUUUAAGGAUAGUAGUAUCACCCUUAUGAGAAGUUAUGUAAGGUGUGAUGAGAUUUUAAAGCGAGUUCUUAAUGAUUGUUCUCUUAUUUUGGGAGUUAGAAAAGAAUUAACCAUUUUGAAAGUAUUUAUGAACCACAAGAGAAUAUAAGCAUGAGACUAGGUUUCCAACAAAAGUUAAGGAGUUAUGAUUCUAUUACUAAGAGGAUGAAUGACUGUUAUCCUUGAGGUGUUGCAAUAGAAUCACUAUAAGCUAUAUACAGUGGAGAUAUCCAUUUUACAAGUAGUUAAGAAGACAAGUGUUUCAAGCCUUAGUAAAAUUGUCAGUAACCUAUAAGUCAGAAAUAGAUAGUGAGGAACUAGUUAAGAUACAUUUUUUUAAAUAAUGCCAUAAGUUGUUGUUGAAUAAGUCAGUGCAUUGAGAAAAGGGAGACAAUAGAGAUCAGUAAUCUAUUGAGAAGAAGAUCAAGGAUUCAAGCUUAUUGUGACCCUUGGGUAGUUGAAUUUGGAGGACCAAAUUCAUUUUUAAAGGGGGGAGGAUGUAAUGACCUAUAUUUUCUCUAGACAAAUUUCUUAUGUUUUGAAUGGUUAUUUAAGAAUGUAUAUGUAUGCAAAGAGAUGUAAUAACCUUAAGGACUAAAUUUUGAGUUAAAUGGAGAGAAGAUGUUUAAACUACGGUAAAAAGAACCCCUCAAAAAGAGAACUUUCUCUUAAUGAGGAAACUUAGUUCUCUAGGCCUAGGAAUGCUUCUUGUGAUUAAAAUAAUAUUAUAGAUGGUAAGAAGAUGCUUCAAGAAUAUGAGAGAGUAAUUGGAUUAACAAUCAGAAGAGAAAUCUCCCAUGUGAAGGAAGAAAUCCCCUAAGAAGUCCUAAUUAACCCUUUAGGCUUGCUUUGUGUCCCGAGACCAAAACUCAUAGAAUUUGACACUUGAAUUUGGUUGAGGACUAGCCAAGAUAUUACAACGGAAGUGUGUGGAAAAUGAAAAAUGUCCAUAAAAGCAAAAUUGGGAGAUAUGAGGUCAAAUCAUAAGGCAUGCACAUGAAGGACAUUUUUUACCAUUCGGGAUUGUUUGGGCCAUAAGUGGGCCAAUAGACUCGAACGAAGCCCAAACUAAAACCAUGUGAUAGUUGCCUAUUUAAGGAACAUGUGAAGCACAAGGCUACCCAAAACAAUUAAGAAUUGAGCAAGUUAUUGAGUUUUGAAGUAAGGGUAUAGGAAUGGGCCUAGCUUUUUGCACAGUUUGGACCUUUCAGGACUUAAGUGGACCGUAGAUUAGCCAAAUGUAGUCAUUGCAAGCCCAAAUUUGCUUUGUAAGUAGUGGAAACAAUGAACAGCAAGUGAAGGUAAAAUGAGUCUGAAACGGGUAAGAAUUGAGGGUGUUAUGGCUAUUUGAAGUGAAGGCAUGUGCAUGGAGUGCAAUUUUGGGCCUUAUGGGUUUAGAUGAGCCUAAGGCGACCCAAAACAUAUCCAAUGGAGCCCAAAUUCGGUAUGGAAGCUCCUGGAAGGUGGAUAAGACAUGGGAUAGUCUAUAUAAGAUUAUAAUAAUCUAGAAUUACUUAAAGGCUAAGGAAAGAAAGAGAUAAGGAUAAUGAUGAAGCUUGAGGAGGUUUAAAUGGCCAAUCAAGUUUUUCCACCUCUUCCAUGCUUAUCAACUUGCAUGGACGUCCCUCCCUUAUAAAUAGGAGUGUGGGGAGAUAGGGAAAUCAUUUUGGAGUUGAAAGAAAGCAAGUUUAGAGGGAGAAAUAAGAGAGAGAAAGAGAAGAGGAAAAAGAGCGAAAAAGAGAAGAAACCCAAUAAAAGUGAGGGAAAUUGAUGGAAUUUGGGAGUUAUUCCUUGAGAAAAAUCUACCCAAAUUGUGAGAGGAAGAGACAGAAUGGAAGAAGAAAAGGAGAAAAAAAAAAGAAAGAAAAUAAAAAGAGAGCAAAAGCUCAUAGCUAACCAAGGGAGAACCCGCGGGCUUAAGAUACUGCACAAGAACAUUCCAUAACUUUGCCAGAUUUUUGAGAGAAAAAACUUAAAAAUUAAGCCAAGACUUUACCAGAGUUAAAGCACCAUGUCCUAUAAGGAAAUUGAUGAAAAUAUAAUGGAGAAUCUGCUCAAGUGAAAUGAGAAAAUUGAAGUAUUUUUAAGGGAAGAUUCUGACAGAGUGACUACAAAAAAUUGGGGAAAAUACAGGGGGAGACUCUUUCAGGAUAUUUGCUUAUUAGAAUAGUGUAUGUUACUCCUCCAUCAUUUUUUAAUAAUAAGGAUUCCACUGCAAAUAGUAUGUGAUACAAAAAAGAUGUUGAGAAGUUAGAGAUUAGGUUACCAGUUAGUACUUUUGUAUUGUAAGAAAAAAAAAAUUUUGGAGUCUCAUAUUGUAUUGUAGUUGAUGUAUAUUAUUCAAGGGAUGUAACGAUUCUACAUAUUCCAUAUAUUAAUGAAAGUUAAUUUUUGUUAUUUAAUUAAGUAAAAAGUGUUAGUGUGCUCCGGACAUGCCCUAGAAGAAAAAGGCGCGGGUCACGACAUUAUAGAUGGUGUAUAUAUGAAAUGGACAAAAAAAUAUUUCCGUUAAUUGAUUAAUUUUUCUUGAUAUGAAUAGUGGUUGGUGAAUAAUAAAUUAACUAAAUUGAUAUUCUUUACGUAAAAAAAAAUGAGUAUAUUUGGUCAUUAUAUAUCAUAUAAAAUAUACACAUUCAUGUGAGAUGCUUAUUGGAUAUCAUUGAAAAUUGAUGAUAUUUCAAUGUGAUAAACUUAUUGAAUAUCUAAAUAUUGAUGAUACUUCAAUGUGAUAUGUUUAUUGAAUAUCUUUGACAAUUGUUGAUAUUUCAAUCUAUUGAACUUAUUUAUUGAUUUUGAUAACACCCUUUUUGGCUAAGAAUUUUUUUUGUCUUUUAUAUCUUUUUUAUUUAUUCUUAAGACAUCAAAGGAAAAAGAUUUCUUUUUAAUCCAAUAUACGGUUUUUUAUUUAAGGGAAGAAAAAGGGGGGGAUCAAUCCAUAGUAGCAAUUGACUCUUUAGGAGAGAAAAAUCUUUGAAAAAAAAAUCUUUGUAACAAAAAGUGAAUGAAUCUUAUUCCUUUUCACUAGAAAAACUAUUCUCAUAUCCUUGGUUAAAUAAGGAAAAUGAUAGUGAGUAGUUUUCAUGAGUUUUUUGAGAUAUUUUGUUGAGUAUAGGACAAAAGUUCUUAUUUUUUACUUGUUCUUUAAAACUAAAAGAAU